AUGCUCCGCCCCAUCCUCAUCGUGCGAGCGUCUUUCCUUCCCCGACUCAUCGCUGAUGCCGAUCAUUGGCUGGCGAUGUGCCCUAGCACCGCACAGAUCCAUCAUCUUCUCCUCUCCAGUGCCCUAACAUCGAAUCACUCCGGUCACUUCUCUCGAUCCAUCGCCGACAGCACCUGAGUUCCACUCGUCGCCGCCGCCCCUUCCCGUGAGACCAGAUCAUGUGAGGCCAGAUUCCUCAUCCUCUCCUUGUGUCUAUGAUGCCCAAUUCCCAAAUGCCACCGAUCAAGCUACACCAACUGUCGUGAACCCAAUCAUCGUAUUGCCUUGAUUGCCAGACAUUGGUGCCCUAGCUCUGAUUCUUUUCUCCUUGAUUCUUCUCACUGUCGUAGCCUGAUCCAUCACCGUUGGAGCCUCUUGUCGCCUAGCCUGGUCGAAUUUCCUCCACAAGCAUGGGUUGUUGCUGUUGGCCCCUUUCUGGCCAUGAGUCUUUAUCGUCCCUUCGGUCGUGCCCUAGUUUUGGAUCCACUGUCGUCCCUCUCUCCAUCCGAGAUCACCUCAGCCAUCAAUCACCACUCUUUCGACCAUAAGAAGUUACGAUGUGCCCUUUUCAUUUAUGUUUUUCCUUCCAUUUAAUUUUCGACCAUGGUGCUCAUCUGAUCUACAUAUGGCUUGCAUAUCCAACCUGAAAGCACUACGACCUUGCUUAAUUCUGGCUAGCAAGUGUUGUUUUGGGGUACUUGGCAUAGAGGAUAGUAGCUUCACAAUCCUCCAGUGAUAAAUUCCGACAGUUAUUGCUCCAGUCGCAAGUUAACAGAGGAGCAUACGGAUUUAGUAGGUAAAGAAUUUAUGGAGUCGCUUGGAGAUCCUGUCCGCUGGUCCCAUGUCACAUCGAGUGGCUUUUUCUAUUAUUGCUUUCGUUUACAUUUUUGGCUUUGAACUUGUUCGUGUAUAGGUAUCUUUUGUAUGAAGUUUAGUUUUGUGGUUUCCUGUAUUUGUAUUGAUGUGUUUUGUUGUUGUUGUGUCAAGCCGAGCCGACUCACAGUUAGUUGUUUUGUGAUUUUGCAUUAGUUAUUUUGUGACUUCUA
This is a long non-coding RNA of Zingiber officinale, 1085 nucleotides long. RefSeq lists it as uncharacterized. The record is from RefSeq and is a predicted model, not a curated record. NCBI's taxonomy places the organism in Eukaryota, Viridiplantae, Streptophyta, Magnoliopsida, Zingiberales, Zingiberaceae. The transcript is spliced from 2 exons.